RNAcentral lists this transfer RNA (66 nucleotides) under Peromyscus eremicus (cactus mouse). RNAcentral describes it as "tRNA-Arg". It matches the Rfam family "tRNA". From Rfam's summary of the family: Transfer RNA (tRNA) molecules are approximately 80 nucleotides in length. Their secondary structure includes four short double-helical elements and three loops (D, anti-codon, and T loops). Lineage: Eukaryota; Metazoa; Chordata; Mammalia; Rodentia; Cricetidae. The record is from RNAcentral.
GGUAAUUAGUUUAAUAAAAACAAAUGAUUUCGACUCAUUAAAUUAUGAUUUUCAUCAUAAUUACCA